RNAcentral lists this ribosomal RNA (263 nucleotides) under uncultured bacterium. Its description in RNAcentral is "partial 16S ribosomal RNA". The record is from RNAcentral.
CUGCUGCCUCCCGUAGGAGUCUGGUCCGUGUCUCAGUACCAGUGUGGGGGACCUUCCUCUCAGAACCCCUACGCAUCGUCGCCUCGGUGGGCCGUUACCCCGCCGACUAGCUAAUGCGACGCAUGGCCAUCCUAUGCCGGAGUCACCUCCUUUGACCCCAAGAAGAUGUCUCCUAAAGGUGUUAUGCGGUAUUAGACGGAAUUUCUUCCGCUUAUCCCCCUGCAUAGGGCAGGUUCCAUACGUGUUACUCACCCGUGCGCCGG